Potamilus streckersoni is the source of this 73-nucleotide non-coding RNA. The record is from the annotation of a GenBank genome assembly. Lineage: Eukaryota; Metazoa; Mollusca; Bivalvia; Unionida; Unionidae.
GCUCCGGUGGCAUAGUGGUUAGAACAUCCGCCUCAGAUGCGGGAGGUCGUGUGUUCGAUCCCCUGUCGAAUCA